AAUUGAUGUCCACAUCCAUUUCCCUUUAUGCGAUUUCUCUGUAUUCAAGACAUUGUCGAAUAGCUAUUUGGGGGUGAAGGAUCACAAGUUGUUUCCUCAAGUAGAAGAAAUUUUCCAAACCGGAGCGAGUCUGAGUCCGGCCGAGAUAGGUGAGCUCAUGAUUGCACACCGGAAUUCGCCGAGUCGAGCAUUGAAAUCUGUUAUAACGGCCUUGCAAACGGAAGGUGACCGUAGAGGGUCUGUGAAUGUCGGGCGGCGUUUGCUGGAUGCCGGGUCAAGAAAUUCGACGGAAGAUUCAAGCGAUCACUUGGGGAUAUUUUGUAAAGAAAAUUUCAAUGCCGUGAAAGAUAUCAGGAAAUUAUAUGGAUUACUGAGGUUGAGAAGUAACAGAAAAGCACAAUCGUUUGACUCGACUCCGGGCCAAAACGACGGGUGAUGAUACGGGUCGUGUCGUUUCGGAUAAAUUUACAUUUGGUAAGCAUGUGGGGG
Molecule: unclassified non-coding RNA, 489 nt
Filed under: Hevea brasiliensis (rubber tree)
Lineage: Eukaryota; Viridiplantae; Streptophyta; Magnoliopsida; Malpighiales; Euphorbiaceae
Source: RNAcentral